GCGGCGCCGCGGGGAGCGUUUCCUAGCGGGGCCUCCCUGCCCCUCCCCACGCCGGUCGGCGCCGCCCCGGGGCUGGUCGCGGCGUGGCCGUUGCCGAGCGGCCGUUGCCGCAGCGCGGCGCUGGUGCGGAGCGGAGCGGAGCGGAGCAGAGCGCGCCGGUGGUGCCGGGGCGGCCUGAGCGGCGCCGGAGGCGGCCGGGCCCUCCAGAUCGCGGCCCUGUUCGCCGAGGUGGCGGUUCCCGCUGAGGGCUCUGGUUUUGUGGUCCAUUUCUUGUUUUAAGGCUUGUUUUUUUCUCCCCCCCCCCCCCGGUCUUGGCGGAGGUGGCUGUGCAUGUCGCAGUCGUUACGCCCCACACAUGCCCUUCGGCCCCCCGAUGCCAGGCAUUGCGUGGGCAAGAGGUCGGGGCUCUCGAGAGCUCCCCGGUUCCCUCUCUGGAGGUUUGGAGGUGUUGCCAUAGGGCCUCAGCUGUCCCCAACCACCCUCAGGACUGGGGAAUCCAAAAGCUGCUUUGUGCUCUUGCCGUUCCCUAGAGCAGCUGGGAAAGGAGACGCAGUUUUGUGCUUACGUGUACUUUUUCAGUCUUAUGCUCUUUUGCCAGGUUGGCUGCCCAGAGGCACCCUGUUGUCAGGAGGAGUCCCGCGAGGCACCAGGCCAAAGGAUAGCUGCAGUGCAGGAGGAGCGGGGAAAGGAGAGGAUGCUGGAGACUACUGGAGAGCAGAAAGGGAGUGGCACUGCAGGAGCAGGGCUGGAGCGCUCCACGCAGCUUCUGGCAGUGCCCCAAAGCACAAAUGGCAACCUAAAUUGAGCGGUGACAGGGCAGACAGUGAGGAAUAGAGGCAGCUUGGCCUCCAGGGAGGGGAGGUUCAGGCUGUGAUCCAGGAAAAAAAGAGAACCUUUCCCUUUUUCCUUUCAUCCUGCUGUGAGUCUUUCCCCCUGGGCCCUGUGCAACAACUCUCUGGUUGCCCAAAAUGUAGCAGAUGUACCCUUGUGGCAGUUCUUCUUUGUAAGGCCUGACAUAUUAAAAGGGCCGGGGAGGUUACCUUAGCCUAUGUGGAGAUUUGUCUCUGCUGAGCAGGCAUGGUUGGUAAAGGCACUUGGGACAUGAGAUGUUGGAACACUUGUUCAUGCCAUGGUGCUUCCAGAGAUAAGUGUCCUCUGGUUUUUGUCCCUUUCUGUGGCCUUGCUUCCAUUACUGCUGUUUGUUCAUCCUCUUCUGCUUGACCACCAAGCUGUCUAGAUGGGCAGGAGCCAUGACAGUUCGCAUCAUUUGGAAGCAGCAAGACCUUCCCAUCCCCAUCUUCUCCCAAUAAAACAGAGGGGCCUUUAGAGAGAAGUCGAACUUCAGCCCAAACAGCACACAGAUUGCUGAAGAGACUGUUUAAUAAAUCUGAGCCUGGUAUUGAUCCUGCAGAACCUCAUUAGAAACACCUGUUUCAGGGAGGAUGUUGGCAGUCCUUAAUCCACGUGGCAUGUGCUCUGCUAAUGACAAACUAAGGAAGCAUGGCCUACAUAAAUGGACAAUGAAGUAGACUGAAAACCUGGUUGAACUGCUGGGCCUAAGUGCAUGAAGUCCAGUCAGAGGCCAAUCACUAGUGGUGUAUCAGAUGGGUCAAGAGUGGUGCCGGUACUGUUGAACGCCUUCAUUAAUGACCUAGACGAUGGAACAGAGUGCACCCACAGUGACUUUGCAGGCAAAACAAAACUGGAGGGAGUGGUUGAUGCACCAGAUGGUUCUGCUGCCAUGCAUAGGAACUUCAACAAGCUGGAGAAUCACAGAAUAGUUGAAGUUGGGAGGGACCUCUGGCGAACAUCUGGUCUAGCUCCCCAGAUGGACACACUGCGGCAAUUCCAGCAAAGGGCCAUGAAAAUAAUUGAAGGACUAGAGCAUUCGACAUAUGAGGAGAAGCUGAGAGAGCUGGGAUUGUUUAACUUGGAGAAGGCUCAGGGGGAUUUCAUCAAGGCCUGUAAAUACCUGUUGGGGGUGGAAAUAAAGAUGGAGCCAGACUCUUUGCAGUGGUAUCCAGUGACAGGGCAAGAGCCAAUGAGCACAAGUUGAAAUACACAAAAUACCAUUUAAACAUAAGAAAAAACUUUUUUACUGUGAGGGUGGUUAAACAAUAAAACAAGAUGCCCAAAGAGGCUGUGGAAUCUCCAUGCUUAGAGACAGUCAAAAGCCACUGGGCAUGGUCCUGGACAGCCUGCUUUGAGCAGGGGGGUUGGAUCAGAUGGUCUCCAGGGCUUCCUUCCAACACCAACUAUUCCAUGAUUUUUAGAGUAUAGGAAUGCAGCAUUUGGGGGUUUGACUAGACCUUUUUGACCAUUUCCUAUUCCAAGGGUGUGUCAUUAAGCUGAGGGAGAAAGGCAAUGGGGAAGACCAUGACAUUUGAGCCAGAUUUUUUUCUGUAGUUACUUUUUCUGUAGAGUGCAGAAUUUUCAAGCUCUGGAUGCUUCCCUCAUGCUAAGCAAAGAGUUUAGCAGCCCAGGGCACAGAACUAAAACCUUUUCCCAAAACCAAAUGUGCUCCAAGCACAACACACAACAGCACCAAGGUGACAGUGAAAAUAAAUCUUUUGCAGUCAAGGCUUAUUCAUACAGGUAAAAAGCUAAAGCUAAGUUCCUGUGUCCAGCACCCCUCAGCAGCAGGAAGCACACUGCCCCCACAGCAAGUGAAGAGGUGGAUAAUGCUUUCAUGUAUUUGCUAGAAACAGUCCAAGCAACUGUUACUUUGACUUUUUGACCACAGCUGUGCACCUAAGGCCUGUGGCUCAUCUCUUACCUCUCCCAG
Molecule: long non-coding RNA, 2785 nt
Organism: Dromaius novaehollandiae (emu)
Lineage: Eukaryota; Metazoa; Chordata; Aves; Casuariiformes; Dromaiidae
Exons: 4
Source: RefSeq, a predicted model, not a curated record